AACGGCCCUACCAUGCUGAAUAUACCGGUUCUCGUUAGAUCACCGAAGUCAAGCAUCAUUGGGAGAUGGUCAGUACUUGGGUGGGGGACCACCUUGGAACACCGCGUGC
This 109-nucleotide ribosomal RNA is filed under the name Caerostris darwini. The record is from RNAcentral. Lineage: Eukaryota; Metazoa; Arthropoda; Arachnida; Araneae; Araneidae.